Molecule: long non-coding RNA, 1685 nt
Organism: Peromyscus leucopus (white-footed mouse)
Lineage: Eukaryota; Metazoa; Chordata; Mammalia; Rodentia; Cricetidae
Exons: 3
Source: RefSeq, a predicted model, not a curated record
UCAUGGACUAGAGUAUUUAGGAAGAGCAGAGUUCAACUCUGGGUUUGGAAAAAAGACUCAACUUUCAAACCAAAGUAAGUUUUCAUGAAUGAUGUAAUAAACAAGAAAAAACAUACAAACAAGCUCUCAGAAGAGUGUUAUUAGUAAAUGAAGUUGAAUUAUGAACAGGCAGAAUGAUGCUGACCUUUGUGACCUGCUCAUGUGAUACUGAAGAAAGGGCUACUUGGCUUUCAUAAUAAUCAGUGCUUACCACACUGCUAGUGAAAAUGCCAGUGCCACCUUGCAUGGGAUCCUUCUUUUGCACUUACUUAUGGGAUUCGUUCAUUUAGUAGAUUAUUCACAUAGAGCAUAUCUGAAUUUUGUGUUUCCACCAUUGCAGGAUAACAGAGCAUGUUGAACAUAACUGUGUCAUGCUGUCAGUUUCUGGCCUCACAACAGAUGACUGCACAGCUUUACAUACAUACCUUUGUAAGGGUAAACUCACCAACUAAAACACCUACACUUGGAGUCUGCCAGACGAAUCAAGCUUGAUCUUGAAUGCAUUUGGCUCCAGUCUACAAAUUCAGCUGAAAUCAUAUGUAUAUCUAUCUUCAGAACCUGGCACAUAAUCUUUAUCUCAGAGAUAAAAGUAUUUUUGAGUGGGUCACCUACCAUGUAUUUCAAAAGCCCUACUACAUGUUUACCAGGGUUGUUAAGCAACAUACGCUUGGAGAAUGUAAAGGUUAAUUGAGACUGGGUAAUCUAUAAGAGAAGAGGAUAAUAUUCAUUCACGAUUCUGUAUUAUGAGAGCCCAGAGACAAGGCAAUGGCAUCAACUUUGGAUGAGAGUAUCAAACUGCGCUGGUCAUGACAAAGAGAAGAGCAAAGCAUGUGCUCCCCAAAGAAGCAGUGAGAACCCACUUCCAUGAGAAAGGCAGCAGUGUUGUAGAAUUAAAGUGCCUUCCCAGUAAGAAAUCACUCUGCACACAUAGAGACUGAGAGGACUGGGGAGCCAGACCAGAGCCCUAACAGGUUUCUAAAAGCCCUGCCAAGGACCAGGACUUAAUUUUGGUUUAGGUUUACUGGAACUGGCUGAAGCUGAGCAAGCAGUUCCUGGGAAGACCACAACUCAGGGGCAACCAACCAGCCAGUGUUCCACAGCCUUCUGCCGGCUCAGCAGGAAUCCCCGCGCCCCAGCCUUCUGCUAGCUAAAGAUAGCUUUCCCUACCCUGCAGCUGGAAGGUUCCUAACCACUACAGCCUCCAACCAAUCAGUCCCCUGACUAAUCUUUCCUCCACCAAUCAGCACCAGAUUAAUCCCUCCUCCCUGGAAUCCCCCUACCUCUGCUUAAAAAGAGCUUUCAACCUUCCUUUGGGGUCACUAUUUGCCACCCCAUCAUGUUGGAUAUACUAAAUGUUCUUGCUGAUUGUGUACAUGACUGAUGGUCUUUCUUGGGGGCUUCUCUUGGAUGCUAACAUAUUUUUUCAUGCACAGUAAAUUUAUUUUGCAUAAAAGAAAAAGCUUGCCAUAAAUGAAAAAUUCAGUAGAAAAAAAUCCUUUUGUUUAUAAAUUAGGGCUCAAAAAUAGAAGUUGCUUGUUAGUGAACCCUCAGUAGAAAGAGAAUUGUGUAAGAAAACAUUCUUGUCAUGAAAUCUCUAACAGAAAUUCUGUAAUGAAGUAUUAACCAAAAAAUGUUAUUGUCUGCAU